UGGGGAAUCUUGCACAAUGGGGGCAACCCUGAUGCAGCGACGCCGCGUGAGCGAUGAAGCCCUUCGGGGCGUAAAGCUCUUUCGACCGGAACGAUAAUGACGGUACCGGGAGAAGAAGCUGCGGCUAACUACGUGCCAGCAGCCGCGGUAAUACGUAGGCAGCAAGCGUUGUUCGGAGUUACUGGGCGUAAAGAGUGCGUAGGCGGUUUUCUAAGUUCGGCGUGAAAUCUCCCGGCUUAACUGGGAGGGUGCGCCGAAGACUGGGAAGCUGGAGUGUGGGAAAGGCAGGCGGAAUUCCUGGUGUAGCGGUGAAAUGCGUAGAUAUCAGGAGGAACACCGGCGGUGUAGACGGCUUGCUAGACCAUAACUGACGCUGAGGCACGAAAGCGUGGGUAGCAAACA
This 402-nucleotide ribosomal RNA is filed under the name uncultured bacterium. RNAcentral's name for it is "bacterial SSU rRNA". It matches the Rfam family "Bacterial small subunit ribosomal RNA", at positions 355 to 774 of the family's 1533-position model. The record is from RNAcentral.